AACGCAUAUUGCGCCCGAGGCUUCGGCCAAGGGCAUGUCUGCCUCAGCGUCGCUUACACCCCUCACCUACUCUCUCCUGUUAUAGGAUAGAGUAAGUGGACCUGGCUUUCUCAGCCGACUUGAGUGUCGGCUGGGUUUGCUGAAGAGCAGAGGUUGAUGCAUGGACCCGUUACAUGGGCCUCAGCUGGGUAGUGCAAUUCGUUGCUCAAUGCUUUAGCUGUUGGCUUGGGACUGUGCUUGUCGACCCGAACCAGGAAACUCUUUAUUCAACUUUCGACCUGAGCUCAGGCAAGAACACCCGCUGAACUUAA
Molecule: unclassified non-coding RNA, 311 nt
Filed under: uncultured fungus
Lineage: Eukaryota; Fungi
Description: partial contains 5.8S ribosomal RNA, internal transcribed spacer 2, and large subunit ribosomal RNA
Source: RNAcentral